RNAcentral lists this transfer RNA (73 nucleotides) under Cavia porcellus (domestic guinea pig). It matches the Rfam family "tRNA". Rfam says of the family: Transfer RNA (tRNA) molecules are approximately 80 nucleotides in length. Lineage: Eukaryota; Metazoa; Chordata; Mammalia; Rodentia; Caviidae. The record is from Rfam by way of RNAcentral.
UGGGAUGUAGCUCAGUGCGACAGCACUUGCCUUUGCAUGCAAGAGGCCCUGGGUUCAAUCUCUAACAUCGCAA